RNAcentral lists this ribosomal RNA (468 nucleotides) under uncultured bacterium. RNAcentral's name for it is "partial 16S ribosomal RNA". It matches the Rfam family "Bacterial small subunit ribosomal RNA", at positions 28 to 507 of the family's 1533-position model. The record is from RNAcentral.
GAUGAACGCUGGCGGCGUGCUUAACACAUGCAAGUCGAACGGAAAGGCCCAAGCUUGCUUGGGUACUCGAGUGGCGAACGGGUGAGUAGCACGUGGGUGAUCUGCCCUGCACUUCGGGAUAAGCCUGGGAAACUGGGUCUAAUACCGGAUAGGACGAUGGUUUGGAUGCCAUUGUGGAAAGUUUUUUCGGUGUGGGAUGAGCUCGCGGCCUAUCAGCUUGUUGGUGGGGUAAUGGCCUACCAAGGCGUCGACGGGUAGCCGGCCUGAGAGGGUGUACGGCCACAUUGGGACUGAGAUACGGCCCAGACUCCUACGGGAGGCAGCAGUGGGGAAUAUUGCACAAUGGGCGCAGGCCUGAUGCAGCGACGCCGCGUGGGGGAUGACGGCCUUCGGGUUGUAAACUCCUUUCGCUAGGGACGAAGCGUUUUUGUGACGGUACCUGGAGAAGAAGCACCGGCUAACUACGUG